RNAcentral lists this ribosomal RNA (581 nucleotides) under uncultured bacterium. Its description in RNAcentral is "bacterial SSU rRNA". It matches the Rfam family "Bacterial small subunit ribosomal RNA", at positions 338 to 1533 of the family's 1533-position model. The record is from RNAcentral.
CCUACGGGAGGCAGCAGUGGGGAAUAUUGGACAAUGGGCGAAAGCCUGAUCCAGCAAUGCCGCGUGAGUGAUGAAGGCCUUCGGGUCGUAAAGCUCUUUUACCAGGGAUGAUAAUGACAGUACCUGGAGAAUAAGCUCCGGCUAACUCCGUGCCAGCAGCCGCGGUAAUACGGAGGGAGCUAGCGUUGUUCGGAAUUACUGGGCGUAAAGAGUACGUAGGCGGUUAUUCAAGUCAGAGGUGAAAGCCCGGGGCUCAACCCCGGAACUGCCUUUGAAACUAGAUAACUAGAGUCUUGGAGAGGUUAGUGGAAUUCCGAGUGUAGAGGUGAAAUUCGUAGAUAUUCGGAAGAACACCAGUGGCGAAGGCGACUAACUGGACAAGUACUGACGCUGAGGUACGAAAGCGUGGGGAGCAAACAGGAUUAGAUACCCUGGUAGUCCACGCCGUAAACGAUGAUAACUAGUUGUUCGGUCACUUGGUGACUGAGUGACGCANCUACGACAUAAUUAUCGCCUGGAGGUAGGUCGCAGAUAAACUUAAAUAGAUAGAGCGNGAGAGNGCGAGACGACACGAGGAGAGG